This 1251-nucleotide unclassified non-coding RNA is filed under the name Dermacentor andersoni. Its description in RNAcentral is "barrier-to-autointegration factor-like". Lineage: Eukaryota; Metazoa; Arthropoda; Arachnida; Ixodida; Ixodidae. The record is from RNAcentral.
CAAAGGCGAGCACCGCAUUUGCACCGCACGCCGUCUGCUAUCUCUGCUAGUUCGCGUCUGCAGCCGGCGUUGCGCUUUGACACAUCUGCUCCGUACGUCUUACCCGAGCGAAAGCGAGCCAUGUCUUCGACGUCAAAGAAGCACCGCAACUUUGUCUCUGAGCCCAUGGGAGAAAAGGACGUGACGGAGCUUGCUGGUGUUGGCGACGUCCUCGGCGGGCGGCUGAAAGACAGAGGGUUUGAUAAAGCCUAUGUCGUCCUUGGGCAGUUCUUGGAGUUGAAGAAGGACCGGCAAGGCUUUGAGAGCUGGAUGAAAAGUACCUGCAGUGCCAACAGCAAGCAAGCGGGAGACUGCUACGAGUGCUUGCGCGACUGGUCCCAGGAGUUCCUGUGAAGUUUGACUCACACGGGCGCCCACUGUAAAGCCCGGAUAAGUGGAGCGAACUUUCACAGCGAACAUCGCCCGGCACAAAUAGACGCAGUGGGACGGCGCCGACGGUUGGCUGGCAUCAUUUACAUAUUCGGCUAAAAGCAGACGGACGGCCACCGCGCAUAAAGUUUCUCACCAUAUUACCUAUAGAGGGAAAUCUGGCGCUGCUGCGCUGUGGUAUGCAUGGGAAUGCCGGUAUAUUGGGACUUCGGAUUGGCAUCGUUCUCGGCGAGCCAGGACGCCUUGAAGACGCGCCUGGCAAGCCGUUCCGUCUGUCACAAUGAUUCAUAUUCUACUAAAAUGGCACGUAAAAAGCUGUUUUAGCUUUAUUAUUAGACAAAGAUAUGUUUUGUUUAACUAUGAGAAGUUGUUAUUGCAUGUACAAUUAUAUGAUACGUAAGAAGUAUCAGUGGGCCCGCUAAAGUUGGAGGACAGACAAGAUUCGCGCUCGCUUUGAAACAGUUUGUCGUCUGUUCUUGCUUUUCUUCGCUUGGUCAUGCAUUGUAGGUGAGUAAAGAUGUAAUAUGCGUGAAUUGAAACAUUUUAUGAAAAUUUUACUUUAAGAACACGUUACUUGUGUAGCCAUAUCUACGUUCUAGACGAAGCCUCUUACAACACCAGCCAACACGAGCCUCGCAGACACAUAUAGCGUCAUUGCCAUGACGGCACGGUGCUCUUUAAGAAACUUCCAUAGACGGUGGCGUCAAAUUUCCCUCUAGGUGUUAGUGAGGAACUCUAUGCCACCGCACGCUCGCGGCGUAUUUGUCAGCGUUGCCAGACUCCUGGAAUGUUUUUUUGGAGUAAAAAAAAGACUAAAUAGCC